Panicum virgatum (switchgrass) is the source of this 410-nucleotide long non-coding RNA. RefSeq lists it as uncharacterized. NCBI's taxonomy places the organism in Eukaryota, Viridiplantae, Streptophyta, Magnoliopsida, Poales, Poaceae. The record is from RefSeq and is a predicted model, not a curated record. The transcript is spliced from 2 exons.
UCGCCACCGUCAAGAGGGCAACUCCAGAAGGCUGCCGGUGACCCGGUGGGAGAGGAACACCCGCAGCGUCGAUCCACCGACGAGGGGCGGGAUGGGGUACACAGGCGGCGUGAAGCGCGAGAGGGAGGAGGACGAGGACGGCUCGGCCAUGGCGGCGGCGGCCCAGCGUCGCGGCGUCCCUCCCUUCGGCGUCGACGACGUGGUCAGCCGCAUGCAGCCCCUGUUCCAAGGGCACCCCAAUCUCAUCCUGCCAAGGGGAUACGUGCUCAGGGACAACCAGCAGUACUGCCUGUAACAUCGGUAGUUGUGUGAUCCUCAAUCCGGACUGUGUCCAUUAUCAUGUGUGCUAUUUAAUACUUGGAGUGAGAGGGACCUGAUCGAGAUCAUCUUGUUUGCUAUAUUGACAUGCA